CGAACCAGGAGGUCUGCGGCGGGGUGCAAGGCCGGCUGGACGUGGCCGCUUCCCGGUCAGCGGCUUCGGCGCUCAUAGCGGUAGCUCGGCUCUGGCCCGCGGCGGCUCGCUGAGACCCAGCACCGCUCGGCGAGCAGGUCAGACCUCAAGAAUGUGGAUGCAAAGCAGGAAGAUUUUCAUGGGCAGUAGUGAUGUUUAUAAAAUCAAAUGCACUUUUCCAUUCCAUAACCUCCAGCUUUGUUUGUACCAGACGAGUGGAGCAGUUUAAAUUGAUUUAAAAAAUUGAUCUAGCCAAAUCCAUGCAAACUCCUAACGUAAGGGCAUUGAAACUGUUGUGACCUUUGCUUAUAUUAAUUUAGCAGUACAUUAUUAUUUCCUCAACUAAAAAUUUUACCCUUUGUAACACUUUUAAACACAUUAAAUAAUUAUGGAACCUUU
Long non-coding RNA from Mauremys reevesii (Reeves's turtle), 438 nucleotides. RefSeq lists it as uncharacterized. The record is from RefSeq and is a predicted model, not a curated record. NCBI's taxonomy places the organism in Eukaryota, Metazoa, Chordata, Testudines, Geoemydidae. The transcript has 2 exons.